Molecule: ribosomal RNA, 460 nt
Filed under: uncultured bacterium
Lineage: Bacteria
Description: partial 16S ribosomal RNA
Rfam family: Bacterial small subunit ribosomal RNA
Source: RNAcentral
CCUACGGGGGGCUGCAGUGAGGAAUAUUGGUCAAUGGGCGCGAGCCUGAACCAGCCAAGUAGCGUGAAGGAUGACUGCCCUACGGGUUGUAAACUUCUUUUAUCAAGGAAUAAAGUGAGGCACGUUUGCCUUUUUGUAUGUACUUUAUGAAUAAGGAUCGGCUAACUCCGUGCCAGCAGCCGCGGUAAUACGGAGGAUCCGAGCGUUAUCUGGAUUUAUUGGGUUUAAAGGGGGCGUAGAUGGGUUGGUAAGUCAGUUGUGAAAGUUUGCGGCUCAACCGUAAAAGUGCAAUUGAUACUGGCAGGCUGGAGUACAGGUGAGGUAGGCGGAAUUCGUGGUGUAGCGGUGAAAUGCUUAGAUAUCACGAAGAACUCCGAUUGCGAAGGCAGCUUACUAAACUGCCACUGACAUUGAUGCCCGAAAGUGUGGGUAUCAAACAGGAUUAGAUACCCGUGUAGUC